GACGAACGCUGGCGGCGUGCUUAACACAUGCAAGUCGAACGGAAAGGCCCUGCUUUUGUGGGGUGCUCGAGUGGCGAACGGGUGAGUAACACGUGAGUAACCUGCCCUUGACUUUGGGAUAACUUCAGGAAACUGGGGCUAAUACCGGAUAGGAGCUCCUGCUGCAUGGUGGGGGUUGGAAAGUUUCGGCGGUUGGGGAUGGACUCGCGGCUUAUCAGCUUGUUGGUGGGGUAGUGGCUUACCAAGGCUUUGACGGGUAGCCGGCCUGAGAGGGUGACCGGCCACAUUGGGACUGAGAUACGGCCCAGACUCCUACGGGAGGCAGCAGUGGGGAAUAUUGCACAAUGGGCGGAAGCCUGAUGCAGCAACGCCGCGUGCGGGUUGACGGCCUUCGGGUUGUAAACCGCUUUCGCCUGUGACGAAGCGUGAGUGACGGUAAUGGGUAAAGAAGCACCGGCUAACUUCGUG
This 468-nucleotide ribosomal RNA is filed under the name uncultured bacterium. RNAcentral describes it as "partial 16S ribosomal RNA". It matches the Rfam family "Bacterial small subunit ribosomal RNA", at positions 28 to 507 of the family's 1533-position model. The record is from RNAcentral.